GUGGGAAAUUGCUGGCCCGCCCGUUCCAAGUGGGAAGUUGAACCGAGGGGCUUGGGCUUCGUGGUUCUUAGAGUGGAGGGCAAUGCGUGAGGCUGGUUUCACAGAACAGCGAACACCUCCCGCUCCUCACAGUGGGAAGGAUAACAGGGCCGGUGCUCC
RNAcentral lists this signal recognition particle RNA (159 nucleotides) under Nelumbo nucifera (sacred lotus). Its description in RNAcentral is "Plant signal recognition particle RNA". It matches the Rfam family "Plant signal recognition particle RNA", at positions 87 to 256 of the family's 305-position model. Lineage: Eukaryota; Viridiplantae; Streptophyta; Magnoliopsida; Proteales; Nelumbonaceae. The record is from Rfam by way of RNAcentral.